AUUGAACGCUGGCGGCAUGCCUUACACAUGCAAGUCGAACGGCAGCGGACCUUCGGGUGCCGGCGAGUGGCGAACGGGUGAGUAAUAUAUCGGAACGUACCUUUCAGUGGGGGAUAACGUAGCGAAAGUUACGCUAAUACCGCAUAUUCUGUGAGCAGGAAAGCAGGGGAUCGCAAGACCUUGCGCUGAUUGAGCGGCCGAUAUCAGAUUAGCUAGUUGGUGAGGUAAAGGCUCACCAAGGCGACGAUCUGUAGCGGGUCUGAGAGGAUGAUCCGCCACACUGGAACUGAGACACGGUCCAGACUCCUACGGGAGGCAGCAGUGGGGAAUUUUUGGACAAUGGGCGCAAGCCUGAUCCAGCCAUGCCGCGUGAGUGAAG
This 379-nucleotide ribosomal RNA is filed under the name uncultured bacterium. RNAcentral's name for it is "bacterial SSU rRNA". It matches the Rfam family "Bacterial small subunit ribosomal RNA", at positions 30 to 410 of the family's 1533-position model. The record is from RNAcentral.